GCUGCUGGGCCACCCAGACUAAGUGAGCCAGCACAGCAGGAGAUGAGGACUGAGUGUGCAGAAACCGAACCACCUUCUGCAACCCAGGGCAGGGGCAGGACAAGGCACAGGACGGAGGCCAUCUCAGCACCCUCGGAUGUUUGUAAGAUAUCACAGCUACACAUAGCAUCCUUACCACUUCUGUAAGAGUGAUGAGGCGAAGAGAGAAGACAGCGGAAAGCAGCUAGAAGACAAGGAUGAGGCCUUUGUCACCUAGGAGUCCAGAAAGCAACAAAGCUCACAGCCCAAGGCAUCACAACUUAUUGAACAAAUUUGCUGCUGAGAAAGGAAAACCCAGGAACUGUGUGGGAAACAAAUCUAACUUGCAGGAUCCUCAGAAGAAAAACGAAACAAAACAAAACAAAAUACAGAACCUGUUUGCAUCAAGAGAGAAGCAAGAGACCAGUCCAGGCUAGGGGCAGUGGAAAUACAU
Apodemus sylvaticus (European woodmouse) is the source of this 472-nucleotide long non-coding RNA. RefSeq lists it as uncharacterized. Lineage: Eukaryota; Metazoa; Chordata; Mammalia; Rodentia; Muridae. The transcript has 3 exons. The record is from RefSeq and is a predicted model, not a curated record.